RNAcentral lists this ribosomal RNA (1346 nucleotides) under uncultured bacterium. RNAcentral's name for it is "bacterial SSU rRNA". It matches the Rfam family "Bacterial small subunit ribosomal RNA", at positions 28 to 1381 of the family's 1533-position model. The record is from RNAcentral.
GACGAACGCUGGCGGCGUGCUUAACACAUGCAAGUCGAACGGAAAGGCCCUGCUUUUGUGGGGUGCUCGAGUGGCGAACGGGUGAGUAACACGUGAGUAACCUGCCCUUGACUUUGGGAUAACUUCAGGAAACUGGGGCUAAUACCGGAUAGGAGCUCCUGCUGCAUGGUGGGGGUUGGAAAGUUUCGGCGGUUGGGGAUGGACUCGCGGCUUAUCAGCUUGUUGGUGGGGUAGUGGCUUACCAAGGCUUUGACGGGUAGCCGGCCUGAGAGGGUGACCGGCCACAUUGGGACUGAGAUACGGCCCAGACUCCUACGGGAGGCAGCAGUGGGGAAUAUUGCACAAUGGGCGGAAGCCUGAUGCAGCAACGCCGCGUGCGGGAUGACGGCCUUCGGGUUGUAAACCGCUUUCGCCUGUGACGAAGCGUGUGUGACGGUAAUGGGUAAAGAAGCACCGGCUAACUACGUGCCAGCAGCCGCGGUGAUACGUAGGGUGCGAGCGUUGUCCGGAUUUAUUGGGCGUAAAGGGCUCGUAGGUGGUUGAUCGCGUCGGAAGUGUAAUCUUGGGGCUUAACCCUGAGCGUGCUUUCGAUACGGGUUGACUUGAGGAAGGUAGGGGAGAAUGGAAUUCCUGGUGGAGCGGUGGAAUGCGCAGAUAUCAGGAGGAACACCAGUGGCGAAGGCGGUUCUCUGGGCCUUUCCUGACGCUGAGGAGCGAAAGCGUGGGGAGCGAACAGGCUUAGAUACCCUGGUAGUCCACGCUGUAAACGGUGGGUACUAGGUGUGGGGUCCAUUCCACGGGUUCCGUGCCGUAGCUAACGCUUUAAGUACCCCGCCUGGGGAGUACGGCCGCAAGGCUAAAACUCAAAGGAAUUGACGGGGCCCCGCACAAGCGGCGGAGCAUGCGGAUUAAUUCGAUGCAACGCGUAGAACCUUACCUGGGUUUGACAUGGAUCGGGAGCGCUCAGAGAUGGGUGUGCCUCUUUUGGGGUCGGUUCACAGGUGGUGCAUGGCUGUCGUCAGCUCGUGUCGUGAGAUGUUGGGUUAAGUCCCGCAACGAGCGCAACCCUUGUUCACUGUUGCCAGCACGUUAUGGUGGGGACUCAGUGGAGACCGCCGGGGUCAACUCGGAGGAAGGUGGGGAUGACGUCAAGUCAUCAUGCCCCUUAUGUCCAGGGCUUCACGCAUGCUACAAUGGCUGGUACAGAGAGUGGCGAGCCUGUGAGGGUGAGCGAAUCUCGGAAAGCCGGUCUCAGUUCGGAUUGGGGUCUGCAACUCGACCUCAUGAAGUCGGAGUCGCUAGUAAUCGCAGAUCAGCAACGCUGCGGUGAAUACGUUCCCGGGGCU